RNAcentral lists this ribosomal RNA (540 nucleotides) under Gekko cib. Its description in RNAcentral is "partial large subunit ribosomal RNA". It matches the Rfam family "Bacterial large subunit ribosomal RNA", at positions 1844 to 2605 of the family's 2925-position model. Lineage: Eukaryota; Metazoa; Chordata; Lepidosauria; Squamata; Gekkonidae. The record is from RNAcentral.
AUUAAGGUCCUGCCUGCCCAGUGAAAUUUUAACGGCCGCGGUAUCAUAACCGUGCAAAGGUAGCGUAAUCACUUGCCCCCUAAAUAGGGGCCCGUAUGAACGGCUAAAUGAGGGCAAACCUGUCCCCUUAGACUACUCAAUGAAACUGAUCUAUCAGUACAAAAGCUGAUAUACACCCAUAAGACGAGAAGACCCUGUGGAGCUUUAAACUCAAACACUACCCUUAACCAACCACCCUGGCCCUGGCCAUAAAACACGCUCCAAAAUAGUGUUAGUUUUAAGUUGGGGCGACUGCGGAACAAAACAAAACUUCCAUAAUACAGGCUCCCCCCCAUCAAAGACCUACAAGUCAAAGAAAAACACCAUUGACCCAGUUAAUACUGAUCGCCGAACCAAGUUACCCCAGGGAUAACAGCGCCAUCCCCUUUAAGAGUCCCUAUCGCUAAGGGGGCUUACGACCUCGAUGUUGGAUCAGGACCCCCAGGUGGUGCAGCCGCUACCAAAGGUUCGUUUGUUCAACGAUUAAUGUCCUACGUGAUC